Molecule: ribosomal RNA, 358 nt
Filed under: Phaeoxantha aequinoctialis bifasciata
Lineage: Eukaryota; Metazoa; Arthropoda; Insecta; Coleoptera; Carabidae
Description: partial 16S ribosomal RNA
Source: RNAcentral
AAAGGUAGCGUAAUCAUUAGUUUUUUAAUUGAAAGCUNGUAUGAAUGGUUGGACGAGGUAAAUACUGUCUUUAUUUAAUUUAUAGUAAAAUUUAACUUUUAAGUGAAAAGGCUUAAAUGUUAUUAAUAGACGAGAAGACCCUAUAGAUCUUUAUAUAUUAAUUUAUUAAUUUUAUUAGGAUGAUUUAUUAAUUAAUAGAUUAAUUUAUUUUAUUGGGGUAAUAUAAAGAUAUAAAUAAUUCUUUGAAUAUUUAUACAAUAAUUGUUGAAUAAUUGAUCCAUUAAUAUUGAUUAUAAGAUUAAGUUACCUUAGGGAUAACAGCGUAAUUUUUUUAAAGACUUCAUAUCGAUAAAAAAGU